AACGAACGCUGGCGGCAUGCCUAACACAUGCAAGUCGAACGAGACCUUCGGGUCUAGUGGCGCACGGGUGCGUAACGCGUGGGAACCUUCCCUUAGGUUCGGAAUAACUCCCCGAAAGGGGUGCUAAUACCGGAUAAUUUCUUCUGACCAAAGAUUUAUCGCCUUUGGAUGGGCCCGCGUUGGAUUAGCUAGUUGGUAGGGUAAAAGCCUACCAAGGCGACGAUCCAUAGCUGGUCUGAGAGGAUGAUCAGCCACACUGGGACUGAGACACGGCCCAGACUCCUACGGGAGGCAGCAGUGGGGAAUAUUGGACGAUGGGCGAAAGCCUGAUCCAGCAAUGCCGCGUGAGUGAUGAAGGCCUUAGGGUUGUAAAGCUCUUUUACCCGGGAUGAUAAUGACAGUACCGGGAGAAUAAGCUCCGGCUAACUCCGUG
This 433-nucleotide ribosomal RNA is filed under the name uncultured bacterium. RNAcentral's name for it is "partial 16S ribosomal RNA". It matches the Rfam family "Bacterial small subunit ribosomal RNA", at positions 29 to 507 of the family's 1533-position model. The record is from RNAcentral.